UACGUAGGGGGCAAGCGUUGUCCGGAAUCAUUGGGCGUAAAGAGCGUGUAGGCGGCCCGGUAAGUCCGCUGUGAAAGUCCAGGGCUCAACCCUGGAAUGCCGGUGGAAACUGUCGGGCUAGAGUCCGGAAGAGGCGAGUGGAAUUCCUGGUGUAGCGGUGAAAUGCGCAGAUAUCAGGAGGAACACCAAUGGCGAAGGCAGCUCGCUGGGACGGUACUGACGCUGAGGCGCGAAGGCCAGGGGAGCAAACGGG
RNAcentral lists this ribosomal RNA (253 nucleotides) under uncultured bacterium. RNAcentral's name for it is "partial 16S ribosomal RNA". It matches the Rfam family "Bacterial small subunit ribosomal RNA", at positions 524 to 776 of the family's 1533-position model. The record is from RNAcentral.